This 429-nucleotide ribosomal RNA is filed under the name Chloroflexota bacterium. Its description in RNAcentral is "Chloroflexi bacterium partial 16S ribosomal RNA". It matches the Rfam family "Bacterial small subunit ribosomal RNA", at positions 355 to 776 of the family's 1533-position model. The record is from RNAcentral. Lineage: Bacteria; Bacillati; Chloroflexota.
UGGGGAAUAUUGCACAAUGGGCGCAAGCCUGAUGCAGCCAUGCCGCGUGUGUGAAGAAGGCCUUCGGGUUGUAAAGCACUUUCAGCGGGGAGGAAGGCGGUGAGGUUAAUAACCUCAUCGAUUGACGUUACCCGCAGAAGAAGCACCGGCUAACUCCGUGCCAGCAGCCGCGGUAAUACGGAGGGUGCAAGCGUUAAUCGGAAUUACUGGGCGUAAAGCGCACGCAGGCGGUCUGUCAAGUCGGAUGUGAAAUCCCCGGGCUCAACCUGGGAACUGCAUUCGAAACUUGCAGGCUAGAGUCUUGUAGACGUGCGUAGAAUUCCAGGUGUAGCGGUGAAAUGCGUAGAGAUCUGGAGGAAUACCGGUGGCGAAGGCGGCCCCCUGGACAAAGACUGACGCUCAGGUGCGAAAGCGUGGGGAGCAAACAGG